UGGGGAAUUUGGACAAUGGGCGAAAGCCUGAUCCAGCAAUGCCGCGUGUGUGAAGAAGGCCUUCGGGUUGUAAAGCACUUUUGUCCGGAAAGAAAUCCUUGGCUCUAAUACAGUCGGGGGAUGACGGUACCGGAAGAAUAAGCACCGGCUAACUACGUGCCAGCAGCCGCGGUAAUACGUAGGGUGCAAGCGUUAAUCGGAAUUACUGGGCGUAAAGCGUGCGCAGGCGGUUUGCUAAGACCGAUGUGAAAUCCCCGGGCUCAACCUGGGAACUGCAUUGGUGACUGGCAGGCUAGAGUAUGGCAGAGGGGGGUAGAAUUCCACGUNUAGCAGUGAAAUGCGUAGAGAUGUGGAGGAAUNCCGAUGGNGAAGCNGCCCCCUGGGCAAUACUGACGCUCAUGCACGAAAAGCGUGGGGAGCAAACAGGAUUAGAUACCCUGGUAGUCACGCCCUAAACGAUGUCACUAGUUGUU
Molecule: ribosomal RNA, 473 nt
Filed under: uncultured bacterium
Lineage: Bacteria
Description: partial 16S ribosomal RNA
Rfam family: Bacterial small subunit ribosomal RNA
Source: RNAcentral